RNAcentral lists this long non-coding RNA (663 nucleotides) under Citrus maxima (pomelo). Its description in RNAcentral is "long non-coding RNA (CMAX_LNC004182)". The record is from RNAcentral. Lineage: Eukaryota; Viridiplantae; Streptophyta; Magnoliopsida; Sapindales; Rutaceae.
AAAUCUUCAAAUUCUUUGCUUAUUCACCAAACUCAAAAUAAUAAACAAAAUAAAGUAAAGUCAAUAUAUUGCUAAUAGUAGGGUUAAUUGAAGAUUAAAUAUUAUUCAUAAUCUACAAUUAAGUAAUCCCAAAUGUGAAAUUACAGCCAUGAGGCUCUUGACUGCCGAAGAAUAAGAACAGUGACCAAGCUCUCGGCAGCGCUAUGACAAGGCUUAACAAUGAAAAAGCCCUUCGGAAUCAUCGGUUGGCCGAAACAUCUAGGUAAAACUAGAGGUGGUAAAAUAAGAUGCAGAAAAGAUACUUAGAAUUUGCAGACGCACACCCUCGUCACGGUAGUCGUCUCGCUUAAAAUAAAAUUAAAUCAUCUGAGUUGAACCAGAGCUAGCCACAUCCACAUCCUACCCAUACUUCUUCUCUUUCCGACUGGCCUUUAAAUUUAAUCUCCAUUUGUUUAGUUUUAAUCCAGUUGUUGAAAUCAAUUAGAUCGUACCAAAUUGAAAAACAAAAGUGCGUAAUAAAAACAAAUCACAUAGAUUAGAGGGACAGCAGACACCACUCUUUCGAACCCAUUCCCAUGACGCCCAAACCCAAAAUCGAAAACCGCACACCUUCCAUCAUCUUAAUUUCUAUAACGCUAUUGUUGUUGUAAUACCCAAAUCUUU